GGACUGUAGUCUGCAACCCGACUACACGAAGCCGGAAUCGCUAGUAAUCGCGGAUCAGAAUGCCGCGGUGAAUACGUUCCCGGGUCUUGUACACACCGCCCGUCACACCAUGGGAGUCGGAAAUGCCCGAAGUCAGUGACCGAACCGAAAGGAAGGAGCUGCCGAAGGUGGAGCCGGUAACUGGGGUGAAGUCGUAACAAGGUAUC
This 206-nucleotide ribosomal RNA is filed under the name uncultured bacterium. RNAcentral's name for it is "partial 16S ribosomal RNA". It matches the Rfam family "Bacterial small subunit ribosomal RNA", at positions 1295 to 1500 of the family's 1533-position model. The record is from RNAcentral.